AUACAGAGGUGGCAAGCGUUGUUCGGAUUUAUUGGGCGUAAAGGGCGCGUAGGCGGAUUGUCAAGUCAGAGGUGAAAGCCCUGGGCUCAACCUGGGAACUGCCUUUGAAACUAACAGUCUAGAGUCCGAGAGAGGAUGGCGGAAUUCCCAGUGUAGAGGUGAAAUUCGUAGAUAUUGGGAAGAACACCAGUGGCGAAGGCGGCCAUCUGGCUCGGUACUGACGCUGAGGCGCGAAAGCGUGGGGAGCAAACAGGAUUAGAAACCCCAGUAGUCC
Molecule: ribosomal RNA, 274 nt
Filed under: uncultured bacterium
Lineage: Bacteria
Description: partial 16S ribosomal RNA
Rfam family: Bacterial small subunit ribosomal RNA
Source: RNAcentral